AGCAGUCGCCGCGGUAAUACGUAGGGUGCGAGCGUUAAUCGGAAUUACUGGGCGUAAAGCGUGCGCAGGCGGUUCGGAAAGAAAGAUGUGAAAUCCCAGGGCUUAACCUUGGAACUGCAUUUUUAACUACCGGACUAGAGUGUGUCAGAGGGAGGUGGAAUUCCGCGUGUAGCAGUGAAAUGCGUAGAGAUGCGGAGGAACACCGAUGGCGAAGGCAGCCUCCUGGGAUAACACUGACGCUCAUGCACGAAAGCGUGGGGAGCAAACAGGAUUAGAGACCCGCGUAGUCCCUGUCUCUUAUAC
This 303-nucleotide ribosomal RNA is filed under the name uncultured bacterium. RNAcentral describes it as "partial 16S ribosomal RNA". It matches the Rfam family "Bacterial small subunit ribosomal RNA", at positions 507 to 807 of the family's 1533-position model. The record is from RNAcentral.